CGCUGGCGGCGUGCCUAAUACAUGCAAGUCGAACGGUCUUUCUAUGGAAGCUUGCUUCCACUGAGAAGAUAGUGGCGAACGGGUGAGUAACACGUGGGUAACCUGCCCAUAAGAGGGGGGAUAACAUCCGGAAACGGGUGCUAAUACCGCAUAGUUUUCUUGAUCGCAUGAUUGAGAAAGGAAAGACGGCCUUUGUGCUGUCGCUUAUGGAUGGACCCGCGGCGUAUUAGUUAGUUGGUGAGGUAACGGCUUACCAAGACGAUGAUACGUAGCCGACCUGAGAGGGUGAUCGGCCACAUUGGGACUGAGACACGGCCCAAACUCCUACGGGAGGCAGCAGUAGGGAAUCUUCCGCAAUGGACGAAAGUCUGACGGAGCAACGCCGCGUGAGUGAAGAAAGGUUUUCGGAUCGUAAAACUCUGUUGUCAGAGAAGAACAAGUUGGAGAGUAACUGCUCCAGCCUUGACGGUAUCUGACCAGAAAGCCACGGCUAACUACGUGCCAGCCGCCGC
RNAcentral lists this ribosomal RNA (512 nucleotides) under uncultured bacterium. RNAcentral's name for it is "bacterial SSU rRNA". It matches the Rfam family "Bacterial small subunit ribosomal RNA", at positions 34 to 518 of the family's 1533-position model. The record is from RNAcentral.